AAACAGUCUGGGAGACUGUUUCAGCCUGAGCC
This 32-nucleotide ribosomal RNA is filed under the name Streptococcus pneumoniae GA16531. The record is from RNAcentral. Lineage: Bacteria; Bacillati; Bacillota; Bacilli; Lactobacillales; Streptococcaceae.